UUUACAUAGCAGUGUGCUAUUCCAAAAAGGAAGAGGAAGGGCUACUGAGAAGACGGUACCCUACUCAUUGCAUCCAUGACUUGGGAAUCUGUAGGGAAAGAAAUUGAGGAUGAUGGGGCAAAGUUAUUAGCUAUAGCUGGUUGUUGGAGCAGCACUGAUCUUUCUGUCACCACUGUCACAAUGCUUCCUUGGCCUUAAGAACCUUUGGAAAGGGGGCACUCCUUCCUUCUUGCAGACCUGAGAAACACAAGUCAUUGAUCUUCAAUCAACUAAAAGAUUGAUUUUGAGCAAAAGGUACUUCCUCCAGGCUGACAAGAUUUAGCUGAAAUGAGGAAUAUAAAUACAGUAUCUAGUAGCUGAGUAAAUACCCUUGGUUGAAUUAUGUCUUCCAAUUCUGUGACUUUCCAAUUUUUCUCUUGGGAGCCCUCCAACAUCGAGGCCUCCAAACACUUCUAGGGCUAAACCUUUAGCUAAACCUAUGCCCUGAGGCUGUUUUUUGUUUGUUUCGCUUUUGUGUUUUGGGGGGAAAAGAAGGGACAUUUUUGAAUUAAUGUAUGAUCUAAAGUAGCAAUUCUCAAUCUUGAUAUUUAAAAAUAAACUCAU
Long non-coding RNA from Neofelis nebulosa (Clouded leopard), 603 nucleotides. RefSeq lists it as uncharacterized. The transcript has 3 exons. The record is from RefSeq and is a predicted model, not a curated record. NCBI's taxonomy places the organism in Eukaryota, Metazoa, Chordata, Mammalia, Carnivora, Felidae.